GAAGAAACUAUCUUAAGCUGCUAACUUAAGAACGAGUAAUAAUAUAUUCUUUCUUCU
RNAcentral lists this transfer RNA (57 nucleotides) under Chaetoderma nitidulum. RNAcentral describes it as "tRNA-Ser". Lineage: Eukaryota; Metazoa; Mollusca; Caudofoveata; Chaetodermatida; Chaetodermatidae. The record is from RNAcentral.